UGGGGAAUAUUGCACAAUGGGCGCAAGCCUGAUGCAGCCAUGCCGCGUGUGUGAAGAAGGCCUUCGGGUUGUAAAGCACUUUCAGCGGGGAGGAAGGCGAUAAGGUUAAUAACCUUGUCGAUGGACGUUACCCGCAGAAGAAGCACCGGCUAACUCCGUGCCAGCAGCCGCGGUAAUACGGAGGGUGCAAGCGUUAAUCGGAAUUACUGGGCGUAAAGCGCACGCAGGCGGUCUGUCAAGUCGGAUGUGGAAUCCCCGGGCUCAACCUGGGAACUGCAUUCGAAAAUGGCAGGCUAGAGUCUUGUAGAGGGGGGUGGAAUUCCAGGUGUAGCGGUGAAAUGCGUAGAGAUCUGGAGGAAUACCGGUGGCGAAGGCGGCCCCCUGGACAACGACUGACGCUCCGGUGCGAAAGCGGGGGGAGCAAACAGG
Molecule: ribosomal RNA, 429 nt
Filed under: Chloroflexota bacterium
Lineage: Bacteria; Bacillati; Chloroflexota
Description: Chloroflexi bacterium partial 16S ribosomal RNA
Rfam family: Bacterial small subunit ribosomal RNA
Source: RNAcentral